GGAUUAGAUACCCUGGUAGUCCACGCCGUAAACGAUGUCUACUAGUCGUAGGGUUCCUUGAGGACUUUGUGACGCAGCUAACGCAAUAAGUAGACCGCCUGGGGAGUACGGCCGCAAGGUUAAAACUCAAAUGAAUUGACGGGGGCCCGCACAAGCGGUGGAGCAUGUGGUUUAAUUCGAAGCAACGCGAAGAACCUUACCAGGGCUUGACAUCCAGAGAACUUUCUAGAGAUAGAUUGGUGCCUUCGGGAACUCUGUGACAGGUGCUGCAUGGCUGUCGUCAGCUCGUGUUG
This 293-nucleotide ribosomal RNA is filed under the name uncultured bacterium. Its description in RNAcentral is "partial 16S ribosomal RNA". It matches the Rfam family "Bacterial small subunit ribosomal RNA", at positions 775 to 1067 of the family's 1533-position model. The record is from RNAcentral.